GUCAAAUUUUGAUUAAUUUGCUAAGUUCGCUUUUGAACUCAUAAUUUUUAAGCUUCCACAUACAUGCAGUGUCGCCAGACAUAUGGGAUGCCCUUUGAAGGUCCUUUAUAGCAUUAUCCUUAUUAGCCUAUGAAGCAUUGACACUCCUUGGCAUGUCCCCUUGUCUAACAAGGGGGGCACGCAGAGGACACAGCAAAAUACGUAUGGGACACGCCACGUGGCGUUGUCUAACAAAUUUAAUUAAUUUCUAUAGGUGGACACGGGAGGGACACUAAUGGGGUCACAACAAGGGUUAAAUAUGCAAAUUAUUAUUUUUUUUGGGUGGCUGUGUUAGGAUUAGGGUUUCUUUUUGGUUGGGCUUGUCCCUUUAGGUGUUUGGACUUUGGCCCUUAAGGUUGUGGACUUGUCCCAUUGGGUUUUCUUGAUUGGUAUCUUGCCAAUCGAGGGUUUGGGUCUCGAAUUGGGCAUAGGAUUUUUCUUAGCUUUGUUAGAAAUUUGAUGUCGUUCUCCUUGUUCCUGUUGGUCUUUGUAACAAUUCAAAAAAAAAAUGAAAUUUUCUUGCCGUUAAAAAAAAAAUGCAAUUUUUUUAAAUUUAUUUUGGGGUAAGUGUGCAUUACUUCAAAUAUUUUGGGUUGUGUAAUAUGAUGUAUAUAUGAUACUUGUUUGUAUAUAUUGAAGCUUCAUGCUGGUUUACGUCUAAUUAUAUUUCCAUAGAUAUAUAAUAUGGAUUUAGUUAUUUCUAUCGUGCCCACCCCCCCCACCCAUUACAUGUCCCAUUUCUUUUAAGAAAUCCAUUGUUUGCGUCCAUAAUGUUUAGGAAAUCCCGUGUCAAUGUCCGUGUUUGUGCUACAUAAGUAUUAAGCGAACAAAAUUUGUUAAUCAAGAGAAAGUUAAGGUAAUCUUAACACCAACGAAAUUUGCUUAUGUUAAUAAUUUAUUACCAUAUUCUCUCAAGUUUCUUGGGUUCAUCAUUCUAUUUUUUUCGGGUCAAAUUUUGAUUAGUUUGCUUUUGAACUUACAAUUUUUAAGCUUCCACAUACGCGCAGUCUUGCCAGACAUAUGGGAUGCCCUUUGAAGGUCCUUUAUAGCAUUAUCCUCACUAGCCUGUGAAGCAUCGACACUCCUAGAGGCUGGCGUAUCCCCUUGUCUAACAAGGGGGCACACAGAGGACACGGCAAAAUACGAAUGGGACACGCCAUGUGGCGUUUAAUAAAUUUAAUUAAUUGCUUUAGGUGGACACGGGAGGGACACGUAUAGGGUCACACAACAAGGGUUAAAUAUGCAAUUUUUUUUUUGGUGGUUGUGUUAGGAUUAGGGUUUCUUUUUGGUUGGGCUUGUCCCUUUAGGUGUUUGGGCUUCGGCCCUUUAGGUUGUGGACUUACCCCAUUGGAUUUCCUUGAUUGGUCUAUUGCCAAUCGAGGGUUUGGGUCUUGGAUUGGGCAUAGGAUUUUUCUUAGCUUUGUUAGAAAUUUGAUGUCGUUCUCCUUGUUCCUAUUGAUUUUUGUAACAAUUUCAAAGAUUAAUGAAAUUUUUUUGCCGUUUUUUAAAUUUUUUUGGGCAAGUGUGUAUUACUUCAAAUAUUUUGGGUUGUGUAAUAUGAUGCAUAUAUGAUACUGGUAUAUAUAUAUUGAUGCUUCAUGCUGGUUUACCGUCUAACUAUAUUUCCACAGAUAUAUAAUAUAAAUAUUCUAGAUUUAGUUAUUUCUGUCGUGUCCCCUCCCGUGUACAUGUCACUAUUUUGUGAGAAAUUCGUUGUCUGUGACCAAAAAGGAAUAAGAGCAUAACAAAUUGGGAUGGAGGGAGUAUCUUAUUAUUUUCCUUAUUGAUUUUGACUCUAGAAAACAUGAAUACAGACGCACACACACGUAUAUAUAAGCGUGGCUUUCAAUACGAUGAUCUAAAACACUACCAUGUGUCACUUCAGAAGUUGGCCAAGUGUCCAUAGUUUCAUCAGUCUCAUUCCUGUCAUCUAUGUAGCACGGAUACAGAUACGGGACAUGGAAUUUCUUAAAAAAUGAGGACACAAACACGGCAGAGGACAGGGGAAAAAAAAAUUUUAUUCUACAUGAAGCUUCAAUAUAUGUAAACAAGCAUCAUAUAUAUACAUCAUAUUACACUUUUAACCAAAAAUAUUUGAAAUAAUACGCAUUUACCCCCCAAAAAUUAAAAAAUUGCAUAUUUCACCCCUGCCGUGUUCCCAUACGUGUCCCCAUUGUGCCAAUCGUGUGUCCCACUAAAAAAAUUAAUUAAAUUUAUUGGACGCGCCGUGUGGCGUGUCCCACACAUAUUUUGCCAUGUCCCACACAUAUUGCCAUGUCGGACACAUGACACGCUGGCCUUUAGGAGUGUCGAAGCUCCAUAGCCUAUCAUUGUCAUUGUUGCCAAAACAUGUGCAACCCCAAGGUUUUUUGAAAUAAUUCUCUCAUGUCUAGUCAAUCUUUGAUUUAAGUGAGCUUAGUACCUACUUGGAUAUUUUGCUUGCUCAAUAUAUUGUUACACUUAAAGUAACAUACAUAUUUCAAGGUUUAAAGGAGCUCAUAAAACUUUUAUUUAACAUUGUUCUCACUCUCUCUUUUAUAAUUAUUAAACUCAAAAAUUGAAACUGUAAAUGCUUACGCAUCAAUAACCCAAGAUGUACACCUCGCCUCAUGACAAAUAAAACGCCUUGCAUUGUACCUUCACCUUUAAAAACAUUGGCUUCGAGUAGUUUUUUUUUCUCCCUUUAUCGAGGUAAGUUGGUUUGGAGUGGUUAUA
This is a long non-coding RNA of Rhododendron vialii, 2754 nucleotides long. RefSeq lists it as uncharacterized. The transcript is spliced from 2 exons. The record is from RefSeq and is a predicted model, not a curated record. Lineage: Eukaryota; Viridiplantae; Streptophyta; Magnoliopsida; Ericales; Ericaceae.